Lontra canadensis (Northern American river otter) is the source of this 186-nucleotide long non-coding RNA. RefSeq lists it as uncharacterized. The transcript is spliced from 3 exons. NCBI's taxonomy places the organism in Eukaryota, Metazoa, Chordata, Mammalia, Carnivora, Mustelidae. The record is from RefSeq and is a predicted model, not a curated record.
CCCCCGGGCGUGGGGGCGGCCGAGGCUCCCCCGGUAGCCGAGAGAGAAUUUAAGAUACCAAGAUACCAAAACUGCGUUGAUGCUGAUCUAAUGUGACCUGGGGCGGAGAGGGUUACAGGAAAGACAAACACACACCAAAGAAGCAACGAAGUACGUACAGGAUACCAGAUGGAGAGGAGAGCUAAA